AACCCAUGAUGAUGACACAUUCUCAAAAUAUCCUUAAAUAUCUCCCAUGAAUCAUAUAACAUCUAAAGCUCAAAUUGAGUAAAAGAAGAGAUGUCAUUCAUUAACUU
RNAcentral lists this small nucleolar RNA (107 nucleotides) under Gossypium barbadense (sea-island cotton). RNAcentral describes it as "Plant small nucleolar RNA R71". It matches the Rfam family "Plant small nucleolar RNA R71". Rfam says of the family: R71 is a member of the C/D box family of snoRNAs containing the C (UGAUGA) and D (CUGA) box motifs. Lineage: Eukaryota; Viridiplantae; Streptophyta; Magnoliopsida; Malvales; Malvaceae. RNAcentral also lists the same sequence under 2 other names. The record is from Rfam by way of RNAcentral.